UGGCUCUCGCAUCGAUGAAGAACGCAGCGAAAUGCGAUAAGUAAUGUGAAUUGCAGAAUUCAGUGAAUCAUCGAAUCUUUGAACGCACCUUGCGCUCUUUGGCUAUUCCGAAGAGCAUGCCUGUUUGAGUAUCAUGAACACCUCAACUCUCAUGGUUCGCCAUGAUGAGCUUGGACUCUGGGGGUCUUGCCGGCCUAUGGUCGGCUCCUCCCAAAUGUAUCAGCUUGCCAGUGUUUGGCGGCGUCGCAGGUGUGAUAACUAUCUACGCUUGUCGUUGUCCGUCAGAUAACCGCCGGUCACGGUGGUUCGCUGGAGCUCAUAAACGUCUCUCUUCAGCGAGGACAACUUUGUGAAUGUUUGAUCUCAAAUCAGGUAGGACUACCCGCUGA
This 389-nucleotide unclassified non-coding RNA is filed under the name uncultured fungus. RNAcentral's name for it is "partial contains 5.8S ribosomal RNA and internal transcribed spacer 2". The stretch from base 1 to 134 matches the Rfam family "5.8S ribosomal RNA", at positions 22 to 154 of the family's 154-position model. The record is from RNAcentral. Lineage: Eukaryota; Fungi.